Vitis vinifera (wine grape) is the source of this 3065-nucleotide long non-coding RNA. RefSeq lists it as uncharacterized. Lineage: Eukaryota; Viridiplantae; Streptophyta; Magnoliopsida; Vitales; Vitaceae. The record is from RefSeq and is a predicted model, not a curated record. The transcript is spliced from 4 exons.
ACCCAUUCCUCUUCUUUGUGGGAGACCUCUUUUUUCAAACAUUACUUGCAGGGUCUGCAUCAUUUCGAUCACGUCGGCGACAGUGAUACUAAUUAAGGAACUAGGUUUGGCUGUUAGCUGAAUACUACCUCAUCCCUCAUCCAUUGCCCUACAAUCACAUUUCUCACUACCACAUUGUUGUCAGGUUUUGCCAUGUCAGUACUGAAGGAAGGGGACCAAUAGGAUGGUACAGGGAAGAAACUGAAUUCAGUCUGGAAGCAAAAAUAGUUAGCCCAGCAUGAGUCUUUUUGGGUACUAAUGUAACUGGCCGAGCACAACCAUGGUAGAGCAGUAAAAUUAAAUAUUCGCUUCGGGUUAUCCCCUAUGGUUCUGCAAAGGUUUCAGGGAGAUGACCACAAUGCAUCAUAAAGGGCACUUCUCCACGACAUUUUAAAACCAUUAACGGAAAAGGGUGUGAGGGAGUCUUUGCAGCAAAGGUCUUCAAGCAAACCCGAUGAGGAUGGGAUAGAAGCACUCCUACUGCAUCAACAAGAAGGGCGACGGAUAUGAGGAUGAAAGAAAAGGUCGCAGAGGAAAUAAGAAGAACUGUGCUCGAUAAGGUACCAUCUAGAGGAGAAAACAAGCUAAACAACUGUAGGAACUUCAGGAACAGAAUAGUGGUAGCCCAUACAUAGUACCAAUUGGAUGCAAGAAUGUCUGAAAUCCUCAUCUUUGGAGCAAUACUUGAGCAAUAGACAUGAGAUGGGCAAAGAGGACUUGAGUAUAUAUAGGGUGCGUGGCGUAAAUGAAAAGACCUAAAGGCACUGGAUCAAGUAGAGAAAGAGAGGGCUUGAAAGUUAUGGAAGAAUGUGGAACGUCAUGUUGAGAGGAUGGAGAUGGGGGUGAAUUGGGUUAGCUGGAUGGCUAAGAAAUUGGUCUAAGAUGAGCUUUUAAUGUGAAGAAAGGAGAAGGGAGGUGGGACCACAAGAGUUCCUCUCACAGAAGGUGAGACCCCACAUCUUUAAAGAGGAGAAUUGAAGGGUUUUCAUUGUAGGGUAGAGUAAUAAUGAAUCAUAGCAAUUGGCAAGAUGGUACCACAUUUCUUGAUUUGGAAGAGAAUUCAAUGUAAGUGUCACCAAAGGAGCUGCAAACAAACCAAGUUGAGCAAUUAAAAGUACCUUGUGAGCAGUAAGGGCUCUGCCUCUAGUUCGUCAUAUGUUCAUGGCCGGCUUUUCUUUUCAGAUAGGUGUGCAUUUACAGCAGGGUCAUCCCAGCCAUAACCAUUGAAGCUAAUUCCUCAAACUACAGCUCGGAUUGCGUUGCCUUUGGGGUGGCCAGGCAUUAAAAGUCGGUUCAGCCUUUGAAAGGAAUCUAUGACUAUGCAAUGCACCGCUUCUGCUGACUUUGUGGGUCAGGGGGAUUCACUGGAAAAUCAAGCACCCACCAUGCUAGAGCCCAUCCUAGAGCUGUCCCACCAAUUGGAAAGGUCCUCAGAAACCAAUAUCUAAUUCGGGUUUGUCAAUGGCCAGUUAAUGUGGCACCAACAACCCUGAUUUUCGUAACUAUUCAAUGGCAGGAAACCUGUGCAACCACCGUUCUUUUAUGCUGUACUGGAUUUAGUGAACUGAAAUGGACACAAUCUUAAAGGGCAAGGUUCAAAGGGCUCAAGCUGCUGCAAAUGCUGCUAUCCUUUCCUGCUCAUGAAAUUAUCAACUUUCUUAUCACUGGGACAUCAAAUUAUUGUUUAUUUUCUUCUCAAUUUGUAAACUUGUUAUAUUUUUGGGAUCACUAGCAUGAAAGAAUUUUAAGGAGUACGGGCUUGAAAUGUUGUAUGCACUAAGCAGUUGAAAGGCUCAUAUAUAACUUCUUGUUUUCGACUUGAGCUGAAAAUUGAGGUACAAGUCUGAAGGAUAGUAUUAAUAUCAUAAUAAAAGCUUUAUUAAAUACAAAAACCUAUUGCCUAAACCAAAAUAGAGCUUCCACACAACAAACAAUAUUUUCUUCAUGGUGUCCACUCUCCCCUUCUUUAUGAUUUUAACAUGAGCUCAAUCUCAUCAAGCUUGACAACCAUCAGAUCAACCCUCCUUUUCAUAUUAUAAACCACCAUCUCUUAUUAUGAUAAAUCUAAUACAUGUUCUGCCAGAGGCCUUGCCACCAGAGUUUUGCCAUUAACACUACUUAAAGGAUUCUUGUAAAGAAGGCUCAAUACUUUCAUUAUGUUUAUGAAAGAUAUACAUACUCAAGACCACUUUUCUUGGGCAGCAAUUGCCUUGAUGAAUUUCAUACAAAUUUCUUUUAGAAGGGGCAAAAGAAAAUUCUCUCCAGAAAUCAACUCCAGAACAAAUUUACAUCACCACAGCCUUAUUCUCCUGGAACAGCUCGUAAUAUACGACCUGAUCCUUCAAGUUUCUUUUCCCAGUGCUGAAGGAGAGAGCCACCUUGGUCCUUGGAUGCACCUUUAUAUCUCCUACUGCCAUACCCUUUGCUGUUUGUAACUGAAUGGAUAAUGUUCCAUGCCACCAUCUGGUUCACUCCGUUUCAUUCCAAUCCCAGAAUUCAAGCACUGUGAAGUGGACCACAUAGACCCCUCCAUCAACUGACUCUGCCCUGGCCUCAAAGCCCCAGUUUCCCUGUUCCCACCUUCCACCAUCAAGCUAGAAUUCAGAUCAAAACCAGCCUUAGCAGGCUUAACUCCAUUCACAUGAAAUGGUUGGGAAUUCAUGCCCAUUAGGAAUGGCUGCGGAGAGCAUGAAGGAGGAAAGGUCACUGCAGAACCCAUUAUCUGCGGUACUAUAGGAGCUCCUCUUGAAUCUAUCAUGUAGGGGAUGGAGCCUGGUCCGGACACAGUGGAGAGAGUCAUAGAGGGUCCCAUUAUAAAUCCACUGUACCCAAAUGGCGAGGAUGCACAAGCCACUGGAUGCCGAAACUCCAUGACACCUUGAGGCCUUGCCAAGUUGGUGCCCCUUGAUGAAUUGCCAACCUGCCCAUUUAGCAGAAGAGACUGGGAUGGUGUGAAGUUCCUUCCAUUAACUGGUGCCCUAGAGCCAAUAAUCAGAACAUCGGAAUCCUCCUGCUUAAACCCUACA